UAAGUAGUAGUUUAUUAAAAACGUUAAGUUGCAAGCUUAAUUAAGGUCAAGCCCUACUUUU
This 61-nucleotide transfer RNA is filed under the name Odontoglaja guamensis. Its description in RNAcentral is "tRNA-Cys". Lineage: Eukaryota; Metazoa; Mollusca; Gastropoda; Cephalaspidea; Aglajidae. The record is from RNAcentral.